Long non-coding RNA from Manis pentadactyla (Chinese pangolin), 3481 nucleotides. RefSeq lists it as uncharacterized. The transcript has 2 exons. The record is from RefSeq and is a predicted model, not a curated record. NCBI's taxonomy places the organism in Eukaryota, Metazoa, Chordata, Mammalia, Pholidota, Manidae.
AUUGUGAUUAUUCUCACAUUGGAAUAUUAUUCAGCCAUAAAAAGGACUGGCACAUGCCAUAAUUCAGACAAACCUCAAAAAUACUAUGCUAAGUGAAAGAAGCCACCACAGAAAAGGUCACAUACUGAGCAAUCAACUCCAUUUAUAUGAUAAGUGCAGAAUAGGCAAAUCCAGAGAGACAGAAACCAGCAUUGUGAAUAGAGUAAUAAUAUAAAGUAUGUAUGGACAUAUUGGGGUUCUGCACAGGCUAUUGUCUGAAAAAAGAAAUCCACUAUGGGGGUCAGAAAUUUGAAAACCAUUGCUUUUGUGUUCUUAAUACCAGAUGUCAGGUUUCUGUACAACUGAGGGUGGAGAGACAGAAAACAAGAAUGUUUGCCUCCUCGCCAUGCCACCGCUCCAAUGCACGAAAUCAGAGAGAAUUCUUCUAGGGGAAAUAUCUUGGAUGAGCCAAUUGGGGGUCAAGAGCGAUUCCAGGCAAUUGGGGGCUCACUCCUGAAGAGAGCGGAGGAGAAGAGAGAGAGGCUCACCCAAAAUGGUGGGGAACAUUCAGUGUUCUACUUUCAGUUGUGUCCAUUUCAGCAAUACCAAGUCCUCCACGAACAACCGCCCCUGACAGCUUGCAGCCUCACUGGGUGCUGGAUCACUGGCCCCUGGACCACCGUGCCGUAAGCCUGCACACCGGACAUCCUCACUGACACCUGCCGCACCACUGCUGUCCUGGCCACCCCCAGGCACCAGAGGCAGCCACUGCCAUCGGGGGAGAGAGCAAGUGAAGAUACAGACUUUGGGAGCCCAUCCCAGGACCUAGCACUCUGCCUGCUGUCAUGAUAGACUGCUCAGGCACAGAGUAUUGUUGGCUAUUGUUGGCUAUUGUUGGCAGUAGGAUCUCCUUGAGGCCCCAGGAGGCAAAUCCCUCAGUGAAACAAAGUUUAUAUUGCCUUUUCAAAAUCCUUUCAGUAAAAUCAUGAAUUCAGAUGCUACUAAUCAGACACCGGUGCAUCUGCACUAAGAGCUCAGCUAAGCUGACUUGUUUGCCGGACGAAACACAUGUUCACUAAGACAAUGAUAACACAGCCUCAAAAAGGAGAAAGUAAGUGGUUUCAAGAACUUUUGAUCAAGCCAUUUGCAUUAAAAUAUUGACACCUGCCUUGUCCCUCCGUGUGGCCCCUGCACUUCUUCAAAAACGAUCCACAGUUUAGGCUUCUAAUUCAUUCAAGGUGGCUUGCCAUGAACAAGACUGGAUUCAGGAAGGUUCUUCUACCCACUUGUUCUAUGUAAGGAGUCCAAACAGCCAUCUGACCUCCACCUAGUAUCCUGUAGAUUCAAAUAUAAAAUUGGUCUUAAAAGCUAGUCGUUUGGGAGAACUUUUAUGUUUCAACUACUGGUGUAUUGGUGUCACAUCAUCACAGCUGCAAAAGACUGAAUCUAAACCAGGGCAGUCUUUGCUUCAUUAUUCAGUUUUUCAUGCCUUCCAUAAAUACUGAGCUCUUUCUAUGUGCCAAGCACUGAGGUGCUCUGUUCUCUUUAAUACUUACAGCAAAGCUAUGGGUCAGGUAUUUGCUUUUAUUAUAGAUGAACUACUGAAGUCCAGAGAGAUCAAGUCACAUGGCCCAAGACCAGCAGAGAGGAAGAGGGGAAAGAAGGAGUCCAGUGCCCCAAACCCUGCCUGUGAACUAAGGAUGCAGCAAUGCCAUCUUGAGAUAUGCUUGGAAAGAGUCCAAAGGUAAUUGACUGCUUUCCUCUCUUGUUCAUUUUCUUCUAGAGUAGAGCGUGGAGUCUUGGCAGCCAAAGCCGGUUGGGAAGGUCCCAGCUUAUGGGAUACCCCUCACUGAUCUGAGAAGAGGGUAUAGGUCAGGGUCUGGGUCAGUGGCUAACCACCGUGGCUGAGGCGGCCUGGCCAGAGCGCUGCUGAGAGGAGCCAAGAGCUUAGCUGGGGAAGCAGGACCUGGGCCAAGUCUGAAACGGAGGGGAAAUGGAGUCCUGAGAACCGGCCCUGCAGCUCAGCUGUAGAAGAGCAGCGUGUGGGGGGAGGAUGCAGCUCAGAAGCCAGACUGUGGUGUCCAGGCUGCGCUGAUGCCCCAUUUUACAUGUUGUGCCCAGGUUGGGGUGGUGCACGGAGCUGGAGAAUCAGAGACAGGAUCACACAAGGCCCGGUUCAUCCAUGAUAACAAAGCUCAAAGAGGUUUUGCAACUAACCUCCCACUGUCCCGUGAGAACAGUCUAUUGGAAUGCGUUGAUACAUCAACCCAAUGCACCAAGUUUUCUGUUUAGGGUUUCUUAUUCUCUAUUUUUAAAAACCUCUUUUUUGUAUGUGCUAGAAGUGUAUCUGUUCAAAAGGCUUAAUGCGUCUUGAUCUUUCUGCUGCCCUUGAGCAAUUGAGAUUGUCGGAGCUGAAAGGACCCUGGAGAUUAUCUUCGCUGCCCCCUCCUGUCUCAGAUGAAGAAACUGAGUCCCAGAAGGCAGCAGUGAUGUAUACGCGUCUCACAGCAAGCAUGGACCGGAACCAGACCUCCCGCAGGCGGCCUUCCUUCCUCCAGGCAGGCCCCCACCAGGCCUCUGCGGGUGCAGAGUCGCCGCCAGAUCAGACCAGCAAGGGGACCUCCAGGAACACCAAGGCCCUGGCUGCUCUGUGGGUUUGAGUGAAAUGACAGCUCUUCCUUCAACUGUCCCUUUAGCUUCCUUUUUCCCUCCUCCAUCUCUGAGGCCACCUGGGAAUUUUGAUGUGAAAAGUCCAGUCUUGCAGCGCGUGAGGAUUAUGAGGAACUGAGAAAUCACCUGCUUUCAGGCCCAAGAGCUCAGAGACACCCCCGGGGCCCCCAGCCCCUCUGCUGGGGGAGGCGGGCCUCUUGAUAAGUUGCUGUUUCUCAGCUCCAACCCCAGAUUCAGAUGCUGGGGCACUCUGCAAACGCCGUUGCUGCCUGGCCAACUGCCCCUUGUGAGGCUCUGGUAGGAGGGGGCAGAAGCCGGAGGCAGAAGGAGGAAGGCCUGCACUCUGCUCCUGUUUCUGGAGGCAGCACCCCCACACACUUCACUGGGUGGCCGCAGACCCACCCAGCGCCACAGUGAGGUCCGGUUUGCAGCUGUCCCCACCCUUACAGAGCUGGCCUCAUGGGCACCAGUCCCCCAGGCAGGGGCUUCCCACCAACAGGCCUGACGUUCUCCUCCGUGGGGCCCCUUCCUCCACACUUGUGAAUUUUAAUAAUACCACUUUCUGUUUGCACCUUAAGGGCAGUAACUGCUUCUUGCCAUGGCUCCCUUCCAUCGUACCAGGGCUUGCUCUUUGCCUUUGCAGCUAUCUAGAUAACAAUUCUUUACAUUAAAUUCUCUCUGUUAAAAUAACGGAGGCAUUUCUGUCUCCUGAUGGAUAUGCUGGCAGAGCUGGGAUCCAGGUCCAUGUCUUCUUCCUCCUGGUUUAGGACUCUGCAUUGCAGCCCAAUAAAUGUGCAUUCAGUUAUAUGCAUGAGUAAAGUAAGUUCCUCCA